GACGAACGCUGGCGGCGUGCUUAACACAUGCAAGUCGAACGGAAAGGCCCUGCUUUUGUGGGGUGCUCGAGUGGCGAACGGGUGAGUAACACGUGGGUAACCUGCCCUUGACUUUGGGAUAACUUCAGGAAACUGGGGCUAAUACCGGAUAGGAGCUCCUGCUGCAUGGUGGGGGGUGGAAAGUUUCGGCGGUGGGGGAUGGACUCGCGGCUUAUCAGCUUGUUGGUGGGGUAGUGGCCUACCAAGGCUUCGACGGGUAGCCGGCCUGAGAGGGUGAACGGCCACAUUGGGACUGAGAUACGGCCCAGACUCCUACGGGAGGCAGCAGUGGGGAAUAUUGCACAAUGGGCGGAAGCCUGAUGCAGCAACGCCGCGUGCGGGAUGACGGCCUUCGGGUUGUAAACCGCUUUCGCCUGGGACGAAGCGUGAGUGACGGUAACGGGUAAAGAAGCACCGGCUAACUACGUG
Molecule: ribosomal RNA, 468 nt
Filed under: uncultured bacterium
Lineage: Bacteria
Description: partial 16S ribosomal RNA
Rfam family: Bacterial small subunit ribosomal RNA
Source: RNAcentral